GUAGGUGGCAAGCGUUGUCCGGAAUUAUUGGGCGUAAAGCGCGCGCAGGCGGUCCUUUAAGUCUGAUGUGAAAGCCCACGGCUCAACCGUGGAGGGUCGUUGGAAACUGGGGGACUUGAGUACAGAAGAGGAAAGCGGAAUUCCAAGUGUAGCGGUGAAAUGCGUAGAGAUUUGGAGGAACACCAGUGGCGAAGGCGGCUUUCUGGUCUGUAACUGACGCUGAGGCGCGAAAGCGUGGGGAGCAAACAGGAUUAGAUACCCUGGUAGUCCACGCCGUAAACCGAUGAGUGCUAAGUGUUAGGGGGUUUUCCCGGCCCCCCUUAGUGCUGCAGCUAACCGCAUUAAGCACUCCGCCUGGGGAGUACGGCCGCAAGGCUG
This 378-nucleotide ribosomal RNA is filed under the name uncultured organism. Its description in RNAcentral is "partial 16S ribosomal RNA". It matches the Rfam family "Bacterial small subunit ribosomal RNA", at positions 527 to 896 of the family's 1533-position model. The record is from RNAcentral.